UUUCAUGACAUUUUGCUAUUCCCUUCAAUAAUAACCAACAAAAUAAAAGAAAACUAGUUCAUGAAAAUCAAUUCUCUGAAUUUGGAUAUAGGCACCAUUGAAGCGGACAAAAGUGUGACUCUACUGUUUGAUAAACAAUUACGGUGCUCUCCUUGAAAAUUUUUGGUCAUCAACAUUUUUCCCUGGUUAUGGAUUCUUAAAGGAUGUCUUAAAUGGGGAAGAGCUUGAUAUAUGAUUCCCAAGCUCAAGGAAAGAAAUCCUUAAGUCCAAGGAUUCCUAAUGUCAUGUCUUUACUGUAAAGUUUUUAAAUAUUGCACUUAUGUAUUAUCUUAUAAGGGUUGUGUCCCUAAAGUACUCUCAUGAUGUUGAGUGUAGGAUGGAAAA
Molecule: long non-coding RNA, 384 nt
Organism: Solanum lycopersicum (tomato)
Lineage: Eukaryota; Viridiplantae; Streptophyta; Magnoliopsida; Solanales; Solanaceae
Source: RefSeq, a predicted model, not a curated record